This 500-nucleotide ribosomal RNA is filed under the name Gadilida sp. NHM_192. RNAcentral describes it as "partial 16S ribosomal RNA". It matches the Rfam family "Bacterial large subunit ribosomal RNA", at positions 1810 to 2607 of the family's 2925-position model. Lineage: Eukaryota; Metazoa; Mollusca; Scaphopoda; Gadilida. The record is from RNAcentral.
AAAACAUUUCUUAAUUGCGCCCAUUGCUAUUAGUUAGCAUCUGAACUAUAUUAAGUACGACCUGCUCAAUGAAUAUUUACUAUUUAAAUAGCCGCAGUACCCUAACUGUGCAAAGGUAGCAUAAUCAUUUGCCUUAUAAUUGAAGGCUAGAAUGAACGGUCAUACGCGACAAAUCCUUUCUUUAUUUAUUUUAAUAAUAACUUAACCUUAUAGUGAAAAGGCUAUAAUUUUAAUAAAAGACAAGAAGACCCUACGAAGUUUACACUUGCCACCCGGCUAUUUUUUAAUUGGGGCAAUUCAAUACUAAUUUAUUGAGCCAUUACUAAUAUUAUCUCAUAUCUUAACACUAGCAAAAUUACUCUAGGGAUAACAGGACAAUUGGCAAUAAGAGCCCACAUCUAAUUUCCAGUUUAUUACCUCGAUGUUGGAUUAAGGCCCCAGUUAGAAGCAGAAAUCUAACCGCGGUUGUCUGUUCGACAAUUAAACCCUUACAUGAUCUG